This 394-nucleotide long non-coding RNA is filed under the name Mytilus galloprovincialis (Mediterranean mussel). Lineage: Eukaryota; Metazoa; Mollusca; Bivalvia; Mytilida; Mytilidae. The record is from RNAcentral.
CUUUGUUUUAAAAUCAUGAUCGGAAUCCGAAAAUCUCCCUAUAUCACUGUUACAGGCAUGUGAUCACAUAUCGUGAUCGGAACAUGAACCUACGUCUGAAGUACUAGUUUUUGCUUUUGCUUUUUGCCGUUUUUGUCUUGAUUUUGGCGAAAUUUUCAGUGGCAAAUAUUACUUAAAUAUCGGCACAAAAACAUUUUUCUAUAUGAGUUGAAUACUCUUUCACAAGACGGACCUUAAUGUGAUGGUUACAGUUUAGCAGUACUCUAUGUUACUCUACAUAAAUACAUGACUCUUGUAUUUCUCUUGUUAGAAACUGGUAACGCCAAAUAUAAAUUGUGGAAUUUUUGUUGUUGUUGUAGGCAGUACGGUCAUCAAUAGGACCAAAAUAACUAGG